RNAcentral lists this small nuclear RNA (364 nucleotides) under Parus major (Great Tit). Its description in RNAcentral is "7SK RNA (ENSPMJG00000008081.1)". It matches the Rfam family "7SK RNA". Rfam says of the family: 7SK was discovered as an abundant small nuclear RNA in the mid-70s but a possible function has only recently been suggested. Two independent studies have found that 7SK RNA binds the CDK9/cyclin T complex (known as elongation factor P-TEFb). The record is from RNAcentral. Lineage: Eukaryota; Metazoa; Chordata; Aves; Passeriformes; Paridae.
UGAUGUGAGGGCCAUCUGCCUGUGACACCCAUCACCACACUGAUCUCCAGGCUUGAGUCAGCUGAUCUGCCUGGCUAUGCCCAUGUCCCCUUCCUCACCCAGCGCUCCAUAUGCAUCCCUCCCAAAGCUGCUCGGUCACAGAGGACAACCUCCUCGAUACAGACAGUGCAUUUUAUCAAUUAGUGAAAUCCCCCUACAUAGAGUACAGUUUAUUAAUCAAGGCUAUUAUUUGGUAGCUGUGCUCCCUGCUACAACCUACAAAAGUGCUCUCAGUCCAUUUUUUUGAGAACAUAGAAUAAUCCAACUGCUAAGACUGCAGACACAUCCAAUUGUGUUGUUGCAUGGGGAGAGAUUUCCUUAUAUU